This is a long non-coding RNA of Dermacentor albipictus, 2873 nucleotides long. RefSeq lists it as uncharacterized. The record is from RefSeq and is a predicted model, not a curated record. Lineage: Eukaryota; Metazoa; Arthropoda; Arachnida; Ixodida; Ixodidae.
ACACUGUACGCAAACGAAAGAGAUGGUAUCAGUGUUUCCUGCUCACUUUUUAGAUAUGGCUGUGUUUGGCUUAAAAUUAUUUAAAAAAAAACUCAUAACAAAAACUUGAAACAAAACUUUAAUAAAUGUUUGCGGCCCUGUAAGCCACACACUAUUGCCUAAUACUAUAAAAUGCAUUUUCCAGACCUACCUCUUGGAUACGCUGAUCUAACGUUUCACUGUUGAGUCAUUGAGCGUCGAGGCAGUUGACCGUCUGGCAACGCUUUAGGUUUUCUAGCCAGCGGGUGCACUACUACGUGAUUGUAUGACUACUCCGCUGUACUCCGCAUUCGCUGUUCGCUAUGUUUUACUUGGGUGUUGCGCUCUAUAUUUUAUCGUAAAGUAAUCGUGCAAGGCCCAGCGCCGUUCACGAAUAAUGUCGCCGAGAAGACAAUUCGGAAAUUACUUAUGGGACCCGUCCAUCGACGUGCCCAUACGCUCAAAAUAGGUUCAAAAACGUUCAUCAGUCGGUGCUUCGUCUGCCGCGUUGGACAGUGAACUGGGUUCUACUGAUGCAAGUGACCAGAGUUUCUGCGAAAACGAAGCAGACGCUGACGCAGGCCACAUCGCACCAUUCCCUUCAAUUGACGCUGCAACUGAAGACUGUCAUCCAUUGGAAAGCACGCAUGAAACCUUGUCUACCUCGUCGUCUGAGAGCAGCGAAUCGGAAUGUGACGCUGAUUGCGCUGACGUGUAUCCUGACCCCGGCGAGCAGCAUUUUCCGAGAGGCUGGAAGGUUGACUUGGAUGAAGACCUGUUUCCUGGAGCCAAGCUUACGAAAGCCGAAAGCCUCUUAAUGGUCAUGGCCCACAGCUUGCGCCAUGGCUGCUCAAAAGAAGCCACCGAUAGGUUACUGCAGCUUCUCAGAGCUCACUUGCCAGAAGGUGUCGCGUACCCAACAUCAAAGUAUACUUCUUUUUUGACACUUUGCCGGAUCCGAAAAGCAGUAUGCUAAGCACUUAUACUGUAGUGUGUGCUCUGGGUAUAUUGGUGAACUACCAGAAUUACCAGGAAAUGAUGUGGUUGGCAGUCAGUGCAAUGUGAACUAUGCGAGUGGCAGCUUACUGAAAAGCUCAUCAUUUUUUCUUGUAAUGGAUCUGAAGGGCCAAAUUCCAGAUGUGUUACAAUCAGGAAAGCUGCAAUACAGUAGAACAGGCACUUCCUUUGAUGUGUGUGACAUCACAAAAAGAUAUGACUACAAGUUGCCUGUGACUUCGAAUGACAUUACAUUGACAUUGAAUACUGACGGUGUGCCCCUUUUCGAAAGUUCUGAUGCGAGCAUGUGGUCUCUUCUUUUGAUCAUUAGUGAACUGCCAUGCAAAGAAUGUGCACAGACUCUUUUGUUGUCUGGGCUGUGGUUUGGCACAGGGAAGCUAUCAAUGAACUCUUUUUUGAUACAGUUUGUGAAAACAAUGAAUGAAAUAUCAUCCACUGGAGUUGUUUGGAGGGACAGCAGGGGUGUAUCGCACACGUCAAAGACAUUUCCUGGUCCCCGUACAGUAGACAGCGUUUCCAAAUGUGAACUAACUAGUAUGACACAAUUCAACAGUGCUUAUGGUUGUGCAUCGUGUGAGGACUCUGGGCAGGUUGUUUCAAAAGGAAAUGGGUUUUGUCGCGUGUGUCUGCCAAGUGCUUCUGCAAACAAGCUCAGAACACGAGCCAUUUUUGUACCAUGCACAAAAGGCCGUGCAGGCCCCUAGUUGUGGCAUCAAAGUAGCAAGUGUGCUGACACUUCUUUCAUUUUUUUUUUCAUUUAGUGAGGCCUUUGUAGUACACUACGUGCAUGCCGUUUGUUCUGGUUUUGUUCGGGCAACAAUGUUUAUGUGGCUGAAGUCUAGACAGUGCCACCGAUUUCAUCUAUGCCGACAUCUUCCCGAUGCAGACAAAUGUCUUCUGAGCCUCACCCCCAUAUGGGAGCUCACGAGGCUGCCAAGGUCUUUAAAGGACAUAAAGGAGUGGAAAGCUGCCGGUUGGAGGAAUUGGCUGCUGUUUUGUUUCCCAGUCACAUUAAUAGGACGCAUUCUAGAAAGACAGUACAACCAUUAGUUGAAAUUUUUUGUGAUCAUGCAUUACCUUCUUGACCCUUGCAUCUGCAUUCAGGAGCUUGCUACAGUUAGGAGAAAGAUGAAGAAGUUUCUUCUUGAGUACCAGGAAUUGUACGGUAUCAAGUACGUGACAUAUAAUGCUCUCCUCUUUUGCAUGUUGUCGACAGUGCCGUAAACUGGGGUCCUUUGUGGAGUCACCCUCUUUUUCCAUUUGAAUUUAUGAAUGGUACACUUAGACGCUAAGUCAAUGGCAUCAGAUAUCCACAAUUUCAGAUUGCCAACUGUAGCUGGCAAAAUUAGAUGUUUGCGUAAUAUUUUGUUUGAGAUAAGUGAGUGAUAGUUGUCCAAAUGGCAUGGUGAAGUAACAUUUUUCUUAAACUACAUAAUAAAAGAUGAGUAAUAUGAGAUGCCAUCAAAGGGCUUUAGACUUGCUUUAGCUAUUCGCUGUCUGGAAGUUGCUCACAAGACCUUACAGUCACUUUCAUCGCUUGUUACAAAAUGAAUACUGCAGCUGCAUUUUGAUUUUCCAACACCAUAGAAAAUGUUACAUUACCUUGCAACAGAGUUCAGUUUUGUUGGAAAGCUCUAUGGACUCUUUUGAAUUAAGCACAUCCUAUUUAACCAUGCUUGCUUUUGUUAAGUUAUUACGUGAUGUUGUGCCACAUUUUUAUGCUUUGUUAUGAUGUGUGCUGUGAGCAAAAGUGAUAUAUACAGAUUUUUUUCAUGUAUAGUAUGCUUUUGUACACUUUUGCGAUGCCUGUAAAUAAUAAAGAGCAUUAUAUGUCUGGU